This 314-nucleotide unclassified non-coding RNA is filed under the name plant metagenome. RNAcentral describes it as "partial contains 5.8S ribosomal RNA, internal transcribed spacer 2, and large subunit ribosomal RNA". The stretch from base 1 to 105 matches the Rfam family "5.8S ribosomal RNA", at positions 50 to 154 of the family's 154-position model. The record is from RNAcentral.
GAAACGCGAUAGUUAAUGUGAAUUGCAGAAUUCAGUGAAUCAUCGAGUCUUUGAACGCACAUUGCGCCCAUAGGUAUUCCUUUGGGCAUGCCUGUUUGAGCGUCAUUACAACCCUCAGCUAACCGCUGGUUUUGAACCUGAACGGGUGACACCGCGCCGGUUUUAAAGUUGUAAGCUCUGCUGGCCGCUCUGCCCAACCAGAACAUAGUAAGCACUACUUGUCCGGGUGAAGCUGAACGGUACGGCCUGAACAAAACCUACCCACUCUCAAGGUUUGACCUCAGAUCAGACAAGGAUACCCGCUGAACUUAAGC